UGACCAGGGCUACACACGUACUACAAUGGCAGGUACAAAGGGCAGCCACUUAGCGAUAAGGCGCGAAUCCCAUAAAACCUGUCUCAGUCCGGAUUGGAGUCUGCAACUCGACUCCAUGAAGUUGGAAUCGCUAGUAAUCGCAGAUCAGCACGCUGCGGUGAAUACCGGUUCCCGGGCCUU
Molecule: ribosomal RNA, 180 nt
Filed under: uncultured Desulfocapsa sp.
Lineage: Bacteria; Pseudomonadati; Thermodesulfobacteriota; Desulfobulbia; Desulfobulbales; Desulfocapsaceae
Description: partial 16S ribosomal RNA
Rfam family: Bacterial small subunit ribosomal RNA
Source: RNAcentral